AGAAGGAAAUACAAAAAAAUUAAGACUGCUGAUAACAAAACACUGAUGAAUAUGAAGGCUAAAGAAUACAGACAACUCCUUAACAAGAGUUAUAAAAAAUACCAAGAACAUUGUGCAAACGAGCUUCGAUCAUUAUCAAAAACAAACACAAAAGCAUUUUGGAAUACACUUCACAAAUUUUCAAGUAAAAGAAAAGAUAACCCACA
Molecule: long non-coding RNA, 206 nt
Filed under: Mytilus galloprovincialis (Mediterranean mussel)
Lineage: Eukaryota; Metazoa; Mollusca; Bivalvia; Mytilida; Mytilidae
Source: RNAcentral